CGUCUGAUGGAGCACGCCGCGUGAGUGAAGAAGGGUUUCGGCUCGUAAAACUCUGUUGUUAAAGAAGAACAUAUCUGAGAGUAACUGUUCAGGUAUUGACGGUAUUUAACCAGAAAGCCACGGCUAACUACGUGCCAGCAGCCGCGGUAAUACGUAGGUGGCAAGCGUUGUCCGGAUUUAUUGGGCGUAAAGCGAGCGCAGGCGGUUUUUUAAGUCUGAUGUGAAAGCCUUCGGCUCAACCGAAGAAGUGCAUCGGAAACUGGGAAACUUGAGUGCAGAAGAGGACAGUGGAACUCCAUGUGUAGCGGUGAAAUGCGUAGAUAUAUGGAAGAACACCAGUGGCGAAGGCGGCUGUCUGGUCUGUAACUGACGCUGAGGCUCGAAAGUAUGGGUAGCAAACAGGAUUAGAUACCCUGGUAGUCCAUACCGUAAACGAUGAAUGCUAAGUGUUGGAGGGUUUCCGCCCUUCAGUGCUGCAGCUAACGCAUUAAGCAUUCCGCCUGGGGAGUACGGCCGCAAGGCUGAAACUCAAAGGAAUUGACGGGGGCCCGCACAAGCGGUGGAGCAUGUGGUUUAAUUCGAAGCUACGCGAAGAACCUUACCAGGUCUUGACAUACUAUGCAGAUCUAAGAGAUUAGACGUUCCCUUCGGGGACAUGGAUACAGGUGGUGCAUGGUUGUCGUCAGCUCGUGUCGUGAGAUGUUGGGUUAAGUCCCGCAACGAGCGCAACCCUUAUUAUCAGUUGCCAGCAUUAAGUUGGGCACUCUGGUGAGACUGCCGGUGACAAACCGGAGGAAGGUGGGGAUGACGUCAAAUCAUCAUGCCCCUUAUGACCUGGGCUACACACGUGCUACAUGGAUGGUACAA
RNAcentral lists this ribosomal RNA (867 nucleotides) under Lactiplantibacillus plantarum. Its description in RNAcentral is "bacterial SSU rRNA". It matches the Rfam family "Bacterial small subunit ribosomal RNA", at positions 380 to 1242 of the family's 1533-position model. The record is from RNAcentral. Lineage: Bacteria; Bacillati; Bacillota; Bacilli; Lactobacillales; Lactobacillaceae.